This is a long non-coding RNA of Herpailurus yagouaroundi (jaguarundi), 1919 nucleotides long. RefSeq lists it as uncharacterized. Lineage: Eukaryota; Metazoa; Chordata; Mammalia; Carnivora; Felidae. The record is from RefSeq and is a predicted model, not a curated record. The transcript is spliced from 5 exons.
CUCUUUCUCUUUCUCAAAAAUAAACAUUAAAAAAAAUUUUUUUAAGGUACUGUGCAACCAUUAUAUUUGUAAAUUAUUUAGCACGUUUUUGUCACCUAGAAUAGCGUGCCAUACUACUCGAGGGGGCUAUCUUGCAAGUAAUACCAAGUUCCAGUGUUUGCUUCUUAGUAUUGAACUACAUUUACAGUUCUGUCCUAGACACGUCGCACCAGUCGAAUCCAUUCGUGUGUCUUUUUGUUCACGUGCUCUGUACCACUGGUGAGUGCGCCUUGGUUUCCUUACCUGCUGCCACAGAAAGUUCUUUUACAUCCUGAUGGCUAUUGCCAAGGCUACAGGAAAGAAAAGCUUUAUUUGUAUGCAACCCUAACCCUUUGAUGGCUAACCUAGGUUCCUGCUUGCUGCGCCUUGUUCCAUCUGUGUUCUUAUGCUAAUGAAGUAUGUUUGGUGUUCUCCUUGUAAAACAACAACAACAAACGAGUCACAUGUUGUCACUUCUGCCACAUCCUGUUCAUCAGAAACCAGUCACUAAGUCCAGCACUUUUGAAGGAAGGAGUGCAAAGGAUUUGUGAACAUAUUUUAAAACCAUCAGUUCUGCCCUGACGCACGAUCUGUGUGGACUUAUGCGAAGGUAUCCUUAGAACAGAUUUCUAGAACUCAACGACUGGAUCAAGUGAUACAUGCACUUUGAAUCUUGACAAUUCCUGUUUGUGGCAGAAACCGUUCAUCGUCCUCCAAUAGCCAUCGUCUCUCUUUCUCCAUUUAGCACUGGACCUCCUGACUUUUAGCUGGCACAGCUCGAGAAUGUACCUCCCAACCUCCAUUGCUGCUACGUGGAGAUGUGCGACGAAGUCCUGUCCAGUGAGAGGAAUGGGUUGCUCAAAAAGCAAAUGACUCGUGGGUCACGUGAGUGGGGAAGGCCGAGGUGGAGUGACAGCACCCUUCUAGUUCGCCCACCAGCCUCCCGCCGGAGCAGACAGGGAAUCCGUCGUGCCCGAGACUAUGCCCAUCUCAGAGUGCACGCUGUGUUCUUGCGGCCCAUGACGAUGAGGAAACCGAGAACAGAGACCUUGACCCUUCUGUCCACUGUUGAACUCCAGCACCCAGAAUGAGGAAGAAUGAGGAAGAGGAGGAGGAGGAGUCACAGGUGCGAGGGGCCAGGAGCCCCGCCUCCUCCUGUCACCGACUGCACCCGAGACAACGGCACCUCUCCCACUAGGAUGUCUCUAUUACACCUGACCUCUGCCCGUGGGAGAAAAGCCAGUGUGGGAGCAGGCUGCACGCACACAACUGGGAUGGUUCGAGUAUGGCCCCAAAUGUCCGCGGGCACGAUCAGGGAGCCUGUUUGGGGCCAUUUGCCGCAUGGCUACGGUUGGGAGGCUGGAAGUUUCCUUGAGAGUCAAGUCUCCUUCCAGCCAUCUCUGCCAUUCAGCUUGAGUAUUUCUCCCCCUGGGAAGGAUUUCCCCAUAAAAUAAAUGUCUCGUCUGAAUUAAUCUUAUUUUUCAAAGGAGGGAGUCGUCAUAUUGUAAAGACAGAUCAUAAAAAGAUGCAUCAAUCUGUCAGGAAGGCUGGUUACUAUGAGUAUUUGUUUAGCAGAAACAGUGUGCCCCAUCCCCACCCCAGACAUCUGGCCCGAGAGGCUGGGCUAUUGCUGGGUCCAGCCCCAUGCGGGCAACUUCUCCUGAGUGCCCCAGGCCUCUGCAGUCUUUGCGGACCAGCCCCAGUCCCGGAAGGGGCCUGGCUAGGGUGCCCAGGUUGGCAUAUUGUGGCAGCCUAACUUUUCAGAAGAGGCCUGGAGCGCCCCCCACUGGAGGGGCCAGUCCCACUGCCCAGACAUGUCCCAGACACUUUCAUUCGGGAGCUAAUGGUCUUUGGGAUCUUAACGAUACUCCAGACAAUCUCUCCAUUUUGUUUACACUUGG